GACGAACGCUGGCGGCGUGCUUAACACAUGCAAGUCGAACGGAAAGGCCCCUUUGGGGGUACUCGAGUGGCGAACGGGUGAGUAACACGUGAGUAACCUGCCCUUGACUUCGGGAUAACUUCAGGAAACUGGGGCUAAUACCGGAUAGGAAUCCUUGCUGCAUGGUGGGGGUUGGAAAGUUUCGGCGGUUUUGGAUGGACUCGCGGCUUAUCAGCUUGUUGGUGGGGUAGUGGCUUACCAAGGCUUUGACGGGUAGCCGGCCUGAGAGGGCGACCGGCCACAUUGGGACUGAGAUACGGCCCAGACUCCUACGGGAGGCAGCAGUGGGGAAUAUUGCACAAUGGGCGGAAGCCUGAUGCAGCAACGCCGCGUGCGGGAUGACGGCCUUCGGGUUGUAAACCGCUUUCAGCAGGGGCGAAGCUUGUGGUGACGGUACCUGCAGAAGAAGCACCGGCUAACUACGUG
This 465-nucleotide ribosomal RNA is filed under the name uncultured bacterium. RNAcentral describes it as "partial 16S ribosomal RNA". It matches the Rfam family "Bacterial small subunit ribosomal RNA", at positions 28 to 507 of the family's 1533-position model. The record is from RNAcentral.